ACCCAAGUUGGAUUGUUAAUAACCUUGGUUCUGUCUCAUUUCAUACCAGCAGUGGAGACCUUGUUAUCAAUUGCCCAUCUCAACAGUCUCAACUGGCUGUAGUGUGAAUUGUAUGGUUCUAUUGUGUGGUCGAUCUUUAUCCAAGUGCUGGGUACCACAAUGAAGAGGAGAGCCAGUCACCUGAGUUUCUACUAUAGGGCCUGUUGGUUAUGGGCCAAGUUGGAGAAUGUGAUCCCUUUCUGGCAGUGUGUUUGAAGUGGAACUCAAGUCCUAUAUUUUUAGCUGUUCCAGGAAUGCUGUUCUGUGUCCUAGAAUAGCUCCCCCAGCCCUUACAUGACCCUCUCAAAGCCAUCAGUCUGUGUCUCAACUGCAUCAUUCACCGAGGAUGUUAUGAAAUGUAGAUUUCUGAGUACUGCUCUGUACCCAUGAGUUAGAAUUACUGGGAAAGGUAGAAUACAGAGCAAGGGGAUUUUAUAUAUGUUAAAAUUUCAAGCCAUUGCUAACCAAGAUGAUGGAAGAAUAUGAUCAAGAAGUGAAGGGAAGAAAAAGAGAGGGAUAAGCAUCAGAAAAGAAUUAAUAUGUGAAUACUGUUGUGCUAUAAAGUAGGAUGAACUUGAGUCAUUUGUUGAACCACAAUGUUAAGUGAAGUAAAUUAGACACACAAGCUUAAAUGUUUCAUUGUUACAUGAGAAACCAAAAUUAUGAGUAGUAAAAUAAACAUGAUAAUAAUAAGAAGAGAGAUCUUUCUCAAAUGGGAAGAAGAGCAAGAUAUGGAGGUGGACGGAGCAAAGGAGAUGACAAAUAAUUAUGAUGUGCUGUGUAUAUGUACCAAUUCCCCACAAGGAACAUAAAGUUUAUGUGUUAUGUACUAAAAUUAAAAAAAAAUAAAAUUUAAAAGCUAUGUUCUGUACUUAUAUGAACUCUUUAUAGUGAAUAUAACCAGUAUAUCUGGCAAAUGUGCACUUUAAAUAAAGUCAUAAU
Long non-coding RNA from Cavia porcellus (domestic guinea pig), 981 nucleotides. RefSeq lists it as uncharacterized. The transcript is spliced from 3 exons. Lineage: Eukaryota; Metazoa; Chordata; Mammalia; Rodentia; Caviidae. The record is from RefSeq and is a predicted model, not a curated record.